Small nucleolar RNA from Lactuca sativa (garden lettuce), 107 nucleotides. The record is from RefSeq and is a predicted model, not a curated record. NCBI's taxonomy places the organism in Eukaryota, Viridiplantae, Streptophyta, Magnoliopsida, Asterales, Asteraceae.
AGAUCAUUUUGAGGGCAAUUUUGAAGUAAUCCCUUGUAACGCUCUUAUGCUUCAUAAAGUGAUUCACCCGGUUGUUGCUCAAAGUUAGGUAUUGCCUUCGUGAGUUU